UAAUUGUCGGGACAGUCAAUACUCCCUGG
RNAcentral lists this non-coding RNA (29 nucleotides) under Mus musculus (house mouse). The record is from RNAcentral. Lineage: Eukaryota; Metazoa; Chordata; Mammalia; Rodentia; Muridae.